AACGCUGGCGGCGUGCCUAACACAUGCAAGUCGAACGCGAAAGUCCCCUUCGGGGGAUGAGUAGAGUGGCGUCCGGGUGAGUAACGCGUGGGUGAUCUACCUUCUGGUGGGGAAUAACUCGCCGAAAGGCGUGCUAAUACCGCAUAACGUCCUGGGUCGUACCAGGAGCAAAGCAGGGGACCGCAAGGCCUUGCGCCGGAAGAGGAGCCCGCGUCCGAUUAGCUAGUUGGUGAGGUAAUGGCCCACCAAGGCUACGAUCGGUAGCUGGUCUGAGAGGACGGCCAGCCACACUGGCACUGAAAUACGGGCCAGACUCCUACGGGAGGCAGCAGUGGGGAAUUUUGGGCAAUGGGCGCAAGCCUGACCCAGCAACGCCGCGUGAGCGAUGAAGUCCCUCGGGAUGUAAAGCUCGCAAGUCAGGGACGAAUAGGUCCGCCCGAACACGGCGGAUGAUGACGGUACCUGACGUAAGCCCCGGCUAACUACGUGCCAGCAGCCGCGGUAAUACGUAGGGGGCAAGCGUUGUUCGGAAUUACUGGGCGUAAAGCGCGCGUAGGCGGUUCGGCAAGUCGGGUGUGAAAGCCCCGGGCUCAACUCGGGAACUGCAUUCGAUACUGCCAGACUUGAGUGCGGAAGAGGCUACUGGAAUUCCCAGUGUAGCGGUGAAAUGCGUAGAUAUUGGGAGGAACACCAGAUGCGAAGGCGGGUAGCUGGGCCGACACUGACGCUGAGGCGCGAAAGCCAGGGGAGCAAACG
This 756-nucleotide ribosomal RNA is filed under the name uncultured Acidobacteriota bacterium. RNAcentral describes it as "bacterial SSU rRNA". It matches the Rfam family "Bacterial small subunit ribosomal RNA", at positions 32 to 774 of the family's 1533-position model. The record is from RNAcentral. Lineage: Bacteria; Pseudomonadati; Acidobacteriota.